AUCUUUUCGCUUGAGGCAAUGACACAGCUAUUGAGGUAAUAUCCUAGGCGCCGCAAUUUGCUGGUUGAAAACUAUUUCUAAACCGCCUCCUCGGCCUUAAGUCUCGUAGGCCGUCAAUUUCUGGAAGGGCUUCCUCUUAUCAAAGGGUAAAGCA
This is a small nuclear RNA of Papaver somniferum (opium poppy), 154 nucleotides long. RefSeq annotates it as U4 spliceosomal RNA. The record is from RefSeq and is a predicted model, not a curated record. NCBI's taxonomy places the organism in Eukaryota, Viridiplantae, Streptophyta, Magnoliopsida, Ranunculales, Papaveraceae. The transcript has a single exon.